CUACCCUUGACAUGCCACUAACGAAGCAGAGAUGCAUCAGGUGCCCGAAAGGGAAAGUGGACACAGGUGCUGCAUGGCUGUCGUCAGCUAGUGUCGUGAGAUGUUGGGUUAAGUCCCGCAACGAGCGCAACCCUUGUCUCUAGUUGCUACGAAAGGGCACUCUAGAGAGACUGCCGGUGACAAACCGGAGGAAGGUGGGGAUGACGUCAAGUCCUCAUGGCCCUUAUGGGUAGGGCUUCACACGUCAUACAAUGGUGCGUACAGAGGGUUGCCAACCCGCGAGGGGGAGCUAAUCCCAGAAAACGCAUCGUAGUCCGGAUCGUAGUCUGCAACUCGACUACGUGAAGCUGGAAUCGCUAGUAAUCGCGGAUCAGCAUGCCGCGGUGUAUACGUUCCC
RNAcentral lists this ribosomal RNA (397 nucleotides) under uncultured bacterium. Its description in RNAcentral is "bacterial SSU rRNA". It matches the Rfam family "Bacterial small subunit ribosomal RNA", at positions 975 to 1375 of the family's 1533-position model. The record is from RNAcentral.